This 73-nucleotide transfer RNA is filed under the name Ornithorhynchus anatinus (platypus). It matches the Rfam family "tRNA". From Rfam's summary of the family: Transfer RNA (tRNA) molecules are approximately 80 nucleotides in length. Their secondary structure includes four short double-helical elements and three loops (D, anti-codon, and T loops). The record is from Rfam by way of RNAcentral. Lineage: Eukaryota; Metazoa; Chordata; Mammalia; Monotremata; Ornithorhynchidae.
AGCAGUGUGGCUUAGUGGAUAGAGUAUGGGCCUGGGAGUCAGAAGGACCUGGGUUCCAAUCCCAGCUCCGCCA